This 515-nucleotide ribosomal RNA is filed under the name uncultured bacterium. RNAcentral's name for it is "bacterial SSU rRNA". It matches the Rfam family "Bacterial small subunit ribosomal RNA", at positions 1 to 518 of the family's 1533-position model. The record is from RNAcentral.
CAGAGAGUUGAUCAUGGCUCAGGAUGAACGCUAGCUACAGGCUUAACACAUGCAAGUCGAGGGGUAGCAGGGUAGCAAUACCGCUGACGACCGGCGCACGGGUGAGUAACACGUAUCCAACCUUCCCAUAACUCAGGGAUAGCCUUUCGAAAGAAAGAUUAAUACCUGAUAGUACUUUUUCAAGGCAUCUUGAGAAAGUUAAAGAUUUAUUGGUUAUGGAUGGGGAUGCGUUCCAUUAGAUAGUUGGUGAGGUAACGGCUCACCAAGUCUUCGAUGGAUAGGGGUUCUGAGAGGAAGGUCCCCCACAUUGGUACUGAGACACGGACCAAACUCCUACGGGAGGCAGCAGUGAGGAAUAUUGGUCAAUGGGCGAGAGCCUGAACCAGCCAAGUAGCGUGAAGGAUGAAGGUCCUAUGGAUUGUAAACUUCUUUUAUAGUAGAAUAAAGUGAUCCACGUGUGGAUUUUUGUAUGUAUACUAUGAAUAAGGAUCGGCUAACUCCGUGCCAGCAGCCGC